This 329-nucleotide ribosomal RNA is filed under the name uncultured eukaryote. RNAcentral's name for it is "partial 18S ribosomal RNA". It matches the Rfam family "Eukaryotic small subunit ribosomal RNA", at positions 1470 to 1796 of the family's 1831-position model. The record is from RNAcentral.
CCCUUAGAUGUUCUGGGCCGCACGCGCGCUACACUGACAGAGCCAGCGAGUUUAUAACCUUGGCCGGAAGGUCUGGGUAAUCUUGUGAAACUCUGUCGUGCUGGGGAUAGAGCAUUGCAAUUAUUGCUCUUCAACGAGGAAUUCCUAGUAAGCGUGAGUCAUCAGCUCGCGUUGAUUACGUCCCUGCCCUUUGUACACACCGCCCGUCGCUACUACCGAUUGAAUGGCUUAGUGAGGUCUUGGGAUUGGCUUCGGGGAGCCGGCAACGGCACCCUGUCGCUGAGAACUUGAUCAAACUUGGUCAUUUAGAGGAAGUAAAAGUCGUAACA